RNAcentral lists this long non-coding RNA (2040 nucleotides) under Equus asinus (donkey). Its description in RNAcentral is "lncRNA (ENSEASG00005031220.1)". The record is from RNAcentral. Lineage: Eukaryota; Metazoa; Chordata; Mammalia; Perissodactyla; Equidae.
AUUAAUCACAAGGAUGGGGGUUCUUCAGUGUGCUCAUGGGAUGCUCCCAUCUGCCCUGGCUUCUGCAGAGCAGCUCUAGCUUAGGGACAUUUUCUACCAGUGCCACAUACUUUCCCUUCUGUAUAAAAUGGUCAGAGGGAUCAGCCCUUAGGACUCCCUAAUGCCUCAGUGAUAGAAACCCACCCUCCAAAAUUGCGCCCUCACCACUUUGAGAAUGUUGCGUUUAGAGAACAAUUGUCUUCACGUGUUCAACAUUGUCCUGUUAUUUAUGAGGUUUUCAACCACCUGGAAGCCAGGCAAAUACUGACCCAAGCUCGGAACUGUGCGCUGACCCAAGGACAAAAGAGUAUUCUCCAUAUGCAUUCCCUGGGCCUGUUGGUUGCCAAGAUGGGGACCCUUGAAAGUCCAGCGUGGCUUAGUCUUGAUUUCAAAGAGGCAAACGAAGAGUUCCGGCGGCCGGAAAGUCCAAGAUCACCGCGCCCGCAGCUUCGGCGUCUGAAGAAUUGGGACAAUAACACAGAUCAGGAAAAGCGAAUAGACAAGGAGAAUCUUAAGAAAUGACUCCCUAGAUCCAGCCCACAGUCCGAGGGAGGGGAUUAUACAAGGAAGUGAAUACCAGACAGUGUGGAUUAUUUGUGGCCAUCCCAGAGGACUGGGGACAAAGGUCAGUUUUGAGCAUGCAGAUGAGGGCAAUGCACUAGGAUGGGGUGAAGAAACAGAUUGGAAGGAACUGGGUUUCUGAAUGACCACAUGGAGCCAAGUUGCCUGCCAACCUGCUCUGCUGACUCCAGACUGUAACGUGAGAAAUAAGCCACUGAAUUAUUCCUGGCUCCCUGUGACAGCAGCCUAGGUUUUACCCCUGCUAAUACAUUUACCAAGUUAAGUAACCUCAUUGAGUGUCACUUUCGUUAUCUGUAAAGGGAGAAUAAUGUUGAUACAUCCCUUGGAAGGCUGUGGUGAUAAAUAUACAAGAUAAUCCAGACAAAGUGCUUGGUCCAGUGCCCUUCUCAUGGUAAUUUUUUAAAUAAGUGGUUUCUACUAGAAUGAAGAAUGAAGAUAAUUCCAUCUUUGGUUUGGAUGAUGGAUAUAGAGCUAGGAAAGCAGAUGGAGUUGGUGAACUGACAGAAAGACCUGAACUGAUUGAAACAGACUUGCCAUGAGUGGAACCCUAGUAUUCAUAUUUUUUAAAAGUUCCCCAGAUAGCUCUGGUGAGUACCUUGGUUUGGAUACACGUACUUUAUAUUGGCUCUGUAUGUCAUAUAGUAUUCCGUUAAUUAAAUGCCUUAAUGCUUUCCUUUGAGAGAAAGAUCAAUCUAGAAUUCCUGAUAUUCCCAUAAGUGCUAGAAAAGGGAAGUAUAAUAGGCCAAAUUAGUCAUAUUCAAUGAAACACAUUUCUUGUUGAUACUGAUGUCGAAAACAAACAAACAAAAAAACUGCAUGAGAGACUUCUAUUUGGGGCGGUAUUAUCAUCUACAUUCUCCAAAGAUUCUUCUUAUUAGAUCCUGCAGAAGACUUGAGUUUUCUGGCACUUCUGGGCUCAGGAGAUAAGGGAAAUCUUCAAGCCCAUAAAUCCAACCCAAGCAAACAAAGCUGUGAGCUGAAACUUGGGAGGUGCGUUGCGAGCAGACACGUGGAGUGAGGCUGCCUUACAUGCUAAAUCAGCACCGAGACAAGGAGACCGACUCCUGAGUCUGCUUACAGUUGAGGGGAUGAACCUGAGGCUCCAGGUGAAGCUGGAGAUCCUGAAGGGAGCCAAAUCGGUCCCAGAUCAGUGGUGUCCUUGGGCUAUUGGCUGAAGCAAAUGUGAAUCAUCUCUGGAGGAGAGCAUGCCCCACAUAAGGGCCUAGGAGUUCAAGGGAUAAAGAUAAACCAAAUAUGAGCUGAUAAGUGAAGACCAACAAACACACAAGGGAACACGCCCUCACAAGUGAAGAAAGAAACCCAAAGGACAUCAGAUACUGCAGUUCUCAUUUUCCAAACAGCAUAACUCUGUAGACAGUUUUUUUUAAAAAAAAACAGACUUAUUGAGAUAUACUUCAC